UAGGGAAUAUUGGUUAAUGGGCGAAAGCCUGAACCAGCAACGCCGCGUGUGCGAUGAAGGCCUUCGGGUUGUAAAGCACUUUUAGUAGGGACGAGGAAGGACGGUACCUACAGAAUAAGCCUCGGCUAACUACGUGCCAGCGGCCGCGGUAACACGUAGGAGCCAAGCGUUAUCCGAAUUCACUGGGCGUAAAGCGCGUGUAGGCGGCUUAUUAAGUUGGAUGUGAAAGCUCCUGGCUCAACUGGGAGAGGACGUUCAAAACUAAUAGGCUAGAGGGCGACAGAGGGAGGUGGAAUUCCCGGUGUAGUGGUGAAAUGCGUAGAUAUCGGGAGGAACACCAGUGGCAAAGGCGGCCUCCUGGGUCGCACCUGACGCUCAGACGCGAAAGCUAGGGGAGCGAACGG
Molecule: ribosomal RNA, 404 nt
Filed under: uncultured bacterium
Lineage: Bacteria
Description: bacterial SSU rRNA
Rfam family: Bacterial small subunit ribosomal RNA
Source: RNAcentral